AUCCCUUUCCUGUUCAUAAAAUGAUGAUCGAGUGUUCACAUAUUUGUGUGACAUGUGCCUCCCUUAAAACUUGUUAGGCAUUUGGCACAUUACCCAUCUAAUG
This is a small nucleolar RNA of Sorex araneus (European shrew), 103 nucleotides long. RefSeq annotates it as small nucleolar RNA U13. NCBI's taxonomy places the organism in Eukaryota, Metazoa, Chordata, Mammalia, Eulipotyphla, Soricidae. The record is from RefSeq and is a predicted model, not a curated record. The transcript has a single exon.